GCUACAGAGAAUAAUUGGAAAUAAAUAAAUGCUUCCCAUACCGUAUAUCUGUGUCGCUACAGGUAAAAUUGGUGUGCACGAGCCCAAGCGACUAGUAAAGACGAUGGAUUUCGACGUAGAGAAAAACGACUAAAGCGUGCCCGAGUUCUACGAGCGCUUUGAUUAUUCGCAUCCAGACGGUAUCCAAGCAACGUCGCGUGGUCGCCAGGGCCGACAUGGGAGAUCACUCUUAACUGAUCAGCAUCCCGCUUACAGUCUGUGUCGUAAAAAACACAAAUCAAAAGAGGUAAAGAAACCCGCGCCUGUGUGCGCUAAGAAACCAAACCUUUCUCCGGCAGUACAGUCACCUCUUGCCGUGGCGGUGAAUGUAAGCGACGAAAAGAACCCGGACCUUCCGGCUCGCAGACCUCACCGACCAACACAUCCCUAUGCAAACAAGGGUCGGCACCGUAUGUCAACACAUCCGUUGGCCGCGCAACAGUACGUCCCGAAAAAUAGUAUGAAGCCGGCAUUGAUGACGAACUUGUGGGAACGGCAGAUGCAGUUUACUCUGAGGCUUAUGGUGACGUCAUACCCGUCUCGAAGGAAAGUGAAAACAAAAGUCAUAUUUCGGAUGGGAAUUAUGUGAAACUCGGUAUGUCAGCGGUGACGCAUUCUUCUUACCUGAUGACGCAGAUAUUAAAUACAGAUCAAGACACUAAGUCAACCAACAUGGAAAGAAUUAAAACGUUGACAAUAAAUGAAAUAGGUGAUAUUUUGAGGCUUUUGAAACUCGACGAAUAUGUAGAAACAUUUAAAGAUAACCAAGUUGACGGUGCCAUUUUGAUGAGUCUCGACAGUGAUGAUUUAGUCAACGAGUUGGGGAUGAAGAAACUGCAGGCGACAAGACUUUUUAUGUACAUGUCUGAGGGCCACAUCCCAAAGUGAUUUCAUUCGAUUUCGUGUAUGAAUCACCUUACGUGGAAUGCUAAUGUUUGCACUUUAUUAAAUACCGAGUGCAUAAUGCAAAUCGCCCGGCAUACGGUAAAUUAUCACAUUUAAAGUGUUAAUUAAUUAGAACACCAUAUACAUAAAAUUAUAGCAUCAUGUAGUUACCAAAACUUUCACAAAUAUAAAUAUGGUCUAUAUUGCGUAAAAUAUGCAAAGCACGAGUAAUCUUUGUGUUAAUUAUUGUAUUUUGCCCAGCAUCAUGUCAACUAAAAGAGAGUUAAAUGUUCACACUGUUGUUUGCAUCCGCAGUGACAUCAGCUAUAUUUUUUUGAUGAACCUAUCAACUUUUCGAAAACAAACAGCGAUUUCACUGAUAAGUUGUUUGCGCUGUAAACAAACAUAACGACGGCUUCCGUUUGUGGUUCAUGCAGUGCCUGUAAUAUGUCGCCCGUGCUAUUUGAUUCGCUCCUUUUCCUAAAUAAAAAAAAUGUCAAUAUCUUAAACAACAAAGUCAACACGUUGUAUUGUAUUUUAACACAGACCUUUAUCGUCACUGCCCGAUGCAAAGUUGGUUCUGAUUGUGAAAUGAUUAUAAUCGGGAUCGCCACAAUUCCGUAGAAAUCGAAUAUGUAGAUAAAAGCAACGCUGACUCCUUGAACUACUUAUAUAUUAUAGUUCUAAAGAAGUGUGGUUGAUCUGGUAUGUAAUUGUAAAAGGAUCAGCUUCAUUUGUUUUUCAAUAUUAGGUGCUUGCGAAACUAUAGAACAAUAAGGAAUACGCUUUUUGCAUUCGAUUUUCAAAAUACCAUAUCUAUCAUUUACAUUAAAAUUAUUUGACAAUACAAGCAAUCAAAACGAUUCGACGCCAUGGAAAUGACACGUUUUACAUCAAAAUAUAUCAAAUCAUUUAACAAAGUUACGUAUUUAAAUAUAAAGUAUAAAUCCAGUUAAGUAAAGUGAAGUUUUCGUUUAUCUAUGUCAAGCGCACGUACACAUAUGUACUAUUGUUAUACUGUACACUUAAUAUUUGGUCCAAAGUGAGUGCAUUUAUUUAAUUGUAACACUGUGAUGACAACGACCAAAUCAGUGUGUAAUAUUUUGUAUCAAAAUACACUGUUAUUAAAACACUUACACAUUACUUGGCUUAUUUUCUGUAAGAUAUUUACAUUAUAAUUACACAUCAUUUUUGCAUCUCACAUAUUUGAGAACAAGAUUUUCAGUAUUUAUGAUUUUUAUCCCAAUCGGAACUAGUUUUUGUACGAAUGUCACCAUCGAUCUUGGUUAUAGGUUUUUAAUUGUGAAUACUAAAUUGUCUCUCAUUUUUAAGCUUGUAUUUGAAUGUGUUUUUAAAGAGUAGCAUUACACUUCAUUUACUUCAUUACUUAACUAUGUGCUCGCUGGUCCUUGCAACCAUUAAUGCCCCACAACUUUCGCAAUACAUCUGCGUUAACAUUUGACAU
Molecule: long non-coding RNA, 2389 nt
Organism: Dreissena polymorpha
Lineage: Eukaryota; Metazoa; Mollusca; Bivalvia; Myida; Dreissenidae
Exons: 5
Source: RefSeq, a predicted model, not a curated record